CAGUAGCCGCGGGAAAACAGAGGGUGCGAGCGUUAAUCGGAUUUACUGGGCAUAAAGCGUGCGUAGGCGGCUUCUUAAGUCGGAUGUGAAAUCCCUGAGCUUAACUUAGGAAUUGCAUUCGAUACUGGGAAGCUAGAGUAUGGGAGAGGAUGGUAGAAUUCCAGGUGUAGCGGUGAAAUGCGUAGAGAUCUGGAGGAAUACCGAUGGCGAAGGCAGCCAUCUGGCCUAAUACUGACGCUGAGGUACGAAAGCAUGGGGAGCAAACAGGAUUAGAUACCCCCGUAGUCCCUGUCUCUUAUAC
RNAcentral lists this ribosomal RNA (301 nucleotides) under uncultured bacterium. Its description in RNAcentral is "partial 16S ribosomal RNA". It matches the Rfam family "Bacterial small subunit ribosomal RNA", at positions 509 to 807 of the family's 1533-position model. The record is from RNAcentral.